RNAcentral lists this ribosomal RNA (406 nucleotides) under uncultured bacterium. RNAcentral describes it as "partial 16S ribosomal RNA". It matches the Rfam family "Bacterial small subunit ribosomal RNA", at positions 29 to 526 of the family's 1533-position model. The record is from RNAcentral.
AUUGAACGCUGGCGGCAGGCCUAACACAUGCAAGUCGAACGAGUGGCGGACGGGUGAGUAAUGUCUGGGAAACUGCCUGAUGGAGGGGGAUAACUACUGGAAACGGUAGCUAAUACCGCAUACCAUCGGAUGUGCCCAGAUUGGAUUAGCUAGUAGGUGGGGAAAAGGCUCACCUAGGCGACGAUCCCUAGCUGGUCUGAGAGAAUGACCAGCAGCACGGGAAGGGAGACACGGUCCAGACUCCUACGCGGGGCAGCAGUGGAGAAGAUGGCAAAAUGGGCGCAAACCUGAUGCAGCAAUGCAGGGUGUAUGAGGAAGGCCUUCGGGUUGUAAAGUUCUUUCAGCAGGGAGGCGUUACCCGCGGAAGAAGCAACGGCUAACUCCGUGCCAGCCGCCGCGGUAAUAG